CAGAUUCUGUCUCCCUGGUCUCUCUCUGCCCUUCCCCUACUUGUGCUGUCUCUCAAAAAUAAACUUAAAAAAAAAAAAAUUUUUUUUUUAAGGAAUCCAUUCUCUGCAUCUGUUCAUGUAUAGAUUUUUGAUUUACCACAUUCCAGGACCUCCCUGCAAGUUGUUCUGUUCCCCAGUUUGAUGAUCACAGAGGCAGGUAAGUGACAUAUAGCUGGGGCCAGAUGUAAGCAGAAAGUUAGGUCUUGCAGUCAUAUAGGACCAUUGUCCUAAUAACUUACGAUAGACUCUGGAGCUUGGUAAGUGAAAAGGAGCUAGGAAUGUAUAAUUAAAUCCCUUGGAUCAGUAUUCAUUAUAGGAAGGAAUGAGAAGAUGUUUGAAUUGAUUCUUUUAUAUUUUCUGUUCCUAGAAGUAGAAUGCAUUUUUAGUAAUAUUUUGAUUUUGCUUAUUUUAUUCCUCUUCUUAUUCACUCUUUUGAAAUAAAUGGAGUGUGCCCGAUGUGACAUUCACUCAGAAAGUACCUUGCUUUCCUUUCAGAGAAAGUGAAUUUUACAAAUUAUUUUUGUUUCCCCUACAAUAGAUUUUCUUCUAUACCAUUAAAAGACCAUUUCUAUUCUUCUUUCUUGGGUAUUACAUUUGUACUUAAUAUACAAAUUAAUUAUAUUAAUCAUUGUGUUUGAGCAGUGUUGUUAGGCUAAAAGGGACUUUGGGCUUGGGGUAACUCUUCCUGGGUCUGGAUUAACAUCCAGAACUCCAGGAGUUCCCACUGCUCUGAGCUAGUGCCUCCCUUUCCAACCAACUAAUGACUUCUGAACUAAUCCUAGGUGUUUUUUGUUUGUUAUUGUUUGUUUGUUUUUCUGCCACUGUGGACUAAGAGCAUAAAUGCUGCCUUAGUAAGAGAGGUUAAAGAAGCAAUAGGUUUCAUCUUUCCUUAGCCUGACUGGCCUUUGGUGAGUUUGGGUGUGUUGACAGAAUAAAUACUGAGCCAUCUUGGCAGACAAGGAAGGUCAGAAAGAGAGAAGUCCAUGGGCAGGGGGCCAGGUCCCUCCUUGCCUCGUUAGGGAGAAUUCAGCGUUGUCUGUCUGGUUGGCAGGGUAUACCUAAUCACAGAGACGCAGCAUUUCAGCAGUUUGCAAAGGAAAGUGAUACGAAGGGACAGCUGCAAGUCAGCCACAGCUUAGAUCUGAGGAGAUCAAGCAUUCGCUUCACUUGGAAGAAAGAGAGAAGGAAGGAAGCCUAGGGCUUAGCAGGUCCCCAGGUAUCAGUGGACAGCCAUGGCUCCAAGAUCUCGGAAGCGAAGGCACAAGAAACCCCCUUCGUCAGUGGCUCCCAUGGUUGUGACCCCAUCCACAGUUGUGACCCCUGUGCCUCUGACCCUCUCAAAACCUGACCCUAGCAUUGAUGCGCUUGGCUUCUUCUCCUUGGAAAAUAAUGUUCCUGGCCUAUCUCAGCUAAUCCUUCAAAAGCUAAGCAUGAAAAGCUAUGAAGAAUACAAGUUGGUGCUAGAUGGGGGUGCUUCUGUAUCAGGCUUUGGAUUUCGAUGCCCUCAAGAAAUGUUCCAGAAGAUGGAGGACACAUUCCGAUUCUGUGCUCACUGUAGAGCUCUCCAUAGUGGUCUUUCAGACUCCAAGGUCUUACGGCAGUGCAAAAGGUGCAGAAAUGUCUAUUACUGUGGUCCAGAGUGCCAGAGGUCAGACUGGCCAGCACACAGGAAGGUUUGUCAAGAGCUGUGUCUUGUAGCUGUGGACCGUCUCAUGGAAUGGCUCCUAGUCACAGGUGCUUUUGUCCUACCUUCAGGGCCUUGGCCAUGCCUGGCUGAAGCUGUACAGGGCUGGGAUACCUGGUUUUCUAUGCGGCAUUUACAGCUAGAUGCUACACUGGAUGCUGUGCUAGGUAGUCAUGCCAUGACCACCCUGUGGGCCAGCGUAGAACGGCCAAGGCCAGACCCAGAUGUCUUGCAGGGCUCUUUGAAGCGGCUGCUGACAGAUGCCCUCUCACGACCCUUGACACUGGGCCUUGGGCUUCGGGCCUUGAGGAUAAAUGUUGGGAAGAUUGGGGGAAGCACAGUGCAUGUGGUUGGUGCUUCCCACGUGGAGACAUUCCUCACUCGCCCUGAGGACUAUGAUGAGCUUGGCUACAUGUUUCCUGGACACCUUGGCCUCCGUGUGAUCAUGGUGGGUAUAGACGUAUCUGCUGGCUUUACACAGAACCCCUCAACUCCCAUCCUGGAACCUGGCACAGUUCAGCUUAGUGGCCAUAGAGGCCUCUAUCAUGACUUCUGGGAGGAGGAGGUAGAGACUGGGCGGAUAGCCCAUCCAGAUUUGGUGGUGACAUUCCAUCCAGGUAAGAAUCAUUUAGGGGAAUACUGGGUGGCUUUUCUGGGAAUUUUCUAUCCUGACUCUUGUAUCUUCUAUAUUUGGAAUCCCAUUCAUUUGGUCAGGUUAAACACAAUAUGAUGACAACUUUGGUUGAUCAUUAGCCAUUUGUGCUAUGCCCGGGUUCAGAAUUUUCCACUGAAGAACCUGGGGUAGAUGAUGAUGGUAAAUGAGCAUUGGAGGUGAGCAAGGUUUCCAUGCUUCCCCAGACUUAAUGGAGGCUUGGCUGCCCACCCUCUUGCUACUUCGUGAUUAUGAGAUCCCUACAUUGAUCACUGUUUACAGCCAUCAGGAAUUGGCAGCCU
This is an RNA transcript of Felis catus (domestic cat), 2677 nucleotides long. It is a transcript of the gene named MSS51 mitochondrial translational activator, with no coding region annotated. The transcript has 7 exons. The record is from RefSeq and is a predicted model, not a curated record. NCBI's taxonomy places the organism in Eukaryota, Metazoa, Chordata, Mammalia, Carnivora, Felidae.